GAUGAAGAACGCAGCGAAAUGCGAUAAGUAAUGUGAAUUGCAGAAUUCAGUGAAUCAUCGAAUCUUUGAACGCACAUUGCGCCCGCCAGUAUUCUGGCGGGCAUGCCUGUUCGAGCGUCAUUUCAACCAUCAAGCCCCAGGCUUGCGUUGGGGACCUGCGGCUGCCGCAGGCCCUGAAAACCAGUGGCGGGCUCGCUGUCACACCGGGCGUAGUAGAUUUUAUCUCGCUCAGGGCGUGCUGCGGGUUCCGGCCGUUAAAAAGCCUUUUUUACCCAAGGUUGACCUCGGAUCAGGUAGGAAGACCCGCUGAACUUAAGCAUAUCAAUAAGCGGAGGA
This 336-nucleotide unclassified non-coding RNA is filed under the name soil metagenome. Its description in RNAcentral is "partial contains 5.8S ribosomal RNA, internal transcribed spacer 2, and large subunit ribosomal RNA". The stretch from base 1 to 120 matches the Rfam family "5.8S ribosomal RNA", at positions 35 to 154 of the family's 154-position model. The record is from RNAcentral.